This 500-nucleotide ribosomal RNA is filed under the name uncultured Bacteroidota bacterium. RNAcentral describes it as "bacterial SSU rRNA". It matches the Rfam family "Bacterial small subunit ribosomal RNA", at positions 224 to 721 of the family's 1533-position model. The record is from RNAcentral. Lineage: Bacteria; Pseudomonadati; Bacteroidota.
GAUGAGCAUGCGUCCCAUUAGCUAGUUGGUAAGGUAACGGCUUACCAAGGCUACGAUGGGUAGGGGUCCUGAGAGGGAGAUCCCCCACACUGGUACUGAGACACGGACCAGACUCCUACGGGAGGCAGCAGUGAGGAAUAUUGGACAAUGGGCGCAAGCCUGAUCCAGCCAUGCCGCGUGCAGGAUGACGGUCCUAUGGAUUGUAAACUGCUUUUAUACGAGAAGAAACACUGAUUCGUGAAUCAGCUUGACGGUAUCGUAAGAAUAAGGAUCGGCUAACUCCGUGCCAGCAGCCGCGGUAAUACGGAGGAUCCAAGUGUUAUCCGGAAUCAUUGGGUUUAAAGGGUCCGUAGGCGGUUUAAUAAGUCAGUGGUGAAAGCCCAUCGCUCAACGGUGGAACGGCCAUUGAUACUGUUAAACUUGAAUUAUUAGGAAGUAACUAGAAUAUGUAGUGUAGCGGUGAAAUGCUUAGAGAUUACAUGGAAUACCAAUUGCGAAGG